RNAcentral lists this long non-coding RNA (497 nucleotides) under Arachis ipaensis. RNAcentral's name for it is "long non-coding RNA (AIPA_LNC000170)". The record is from RNAcentral. Lineage: Eukaryota; Viridiplantae; Streptophyta; Magnoliopsida; Fabales; Fabaceae.
UGGGGGAUGGCGCAGCGGAGAGGAGAGCACGGAGUAGCAGCGUAGAGGAGAAUCGCGGCGGAGAAGAGUAUGGACCAUGCAAAAUGGCUAAAAACUUAUAGUAAAAAUAAAUUACUGAAAAAUAUAGAAAGAUUUUCACAUGUGCCAGUAUAUUUUAUCGAUAUACUAGUAAAUUAAUGAUUAUCUAACUUCUAAAUAAAAAAGUUUUUACAUGUACUAGACCACUUUAUUGGUAUAUAGCUAUUCUAUUGUUCAGCGACGUAAAAAUUUAUAUUAAAGAAUUCUAUUGAUCAUAAUUGAGUGACAGGAUACAUUUAUUAAAAGAAGAGUGUAGAGCAAGGUUCUAAAAACCGAACCGGUCAUCGAACCACUUUAGCUACUGAUUCACUGGUUUAUUGGUCCAACCGGUUCAACUGAGGUUCAACUGAAAAAACCGUUUUAUAAUAAAAAAUAAAUUAUAAAUAACCACCAUAAAACAUAAAUAUAGUCUAUAUAAA